RNA transcript from Elaeis guineensis (African oil palm), 1560 nucleotides. It is a transcript of the gene named MADS-box transcription factor 22, with no coding region annotated. Lineage: Eukaryota; Viridiplantae; Streptophyta; Magnoliopsida; Arecales; Arecaceae. The record is from RefSeq and is a predicted model, not a curated record.
UUGGCAGUGCAGUAGCCGCUGCAGCAGCGAAAGGGACAGAGAGGCAGGAGGUGGUGGCGACUCGUGAGGGGGGAGGAAGAAAGGAAGGAAGAAAGCAAGCAAGAAAGGAAAAGAGAGGUGGUGUAUAUUUUUACCAUAAAAGAGGGGUCUCCUACUCCCCACUGCCUUCCUCUUCUUCUCUCUUUAUUGCUCCUGGCUUUUCCCCAGACGCCCCGUCGGAGGCAAAACUCCCUCCUCUCGAGGCCUUAACCCACCUUAGAUCGGUCUGGUGCAUAUUAGGAUCAAUGGUGAGGGAGAAAAUCCAGAUAAGGAAGAUAGACAACGCGACAGCGAGGCAGGUGACGUUUUCCAAGAGGAGGAGGGGACUGCUGAAGAAGGCGGAGGAGCUCUCGAUCCUCUGCGAUGCCGAGGUCGCCCUUAUCGUCUUCUCGUCCACCGGCAAGCUCUACGAGUACUCGAGCUCCAGCAUGAAGGAGAUCAUUGAAAAGCACAGCAUGCAUUCAAAGAACCUACAGAAACCAGACCAACCCCCCCUUGACUUAAAUUUAGAGAAUAGCAAGCAUGCAAGUUUGAGCAAACAAGUUGCAGAUAUGAGCCUUCAACUGAGACAGAUGAGAGGAGAGGAGCUUGAAGGAUUGUCAAUAGAGGAGCUGCAGCAGCUAGAAAAAGCCCUCGAAGCAGGAUUAAGCCGUGUAAUAGAUAGAAAGGGUGAACAGAUCAUGGAACAGAUUAAUGGUCUCCAACAAAAGGGAUUGAAGUUGAUGGAAGAAAAUACACGACUGAGAGAGCAAGUACUGAAGCUGUCAAGGGUUGGGAAACAGAUGAUGAAUGAUAAAGAAAAUGCUCUUAAUGAAGAUGGGCAGUCGUCUGAAUCAGUCACUAACGUUUUGAACCCAGGAGGAUCACAAGAUUAUGAUGAUAGUUCUGACACAUCCCUAAAACUAGGGCUGCCUGGUUCAAACUGGAAGUGAAUAUGAGCUGCAGACCAACCAUCCAGGGAUCUUUUCUUAUCACAGUCUGAAAGUGAACACUAGCAACGAUUAGAUGCUAAAAGCACUGCAUGGAACCAGAUUGGUCCUGAGAACUGAGAGUAUGGGUAUGGCGAGUCUGACCAGAUCUUCAUCAAACAUAAUAGUGAAUCAAUGAUGAUGGACGCAUAUGAGGAGAUGGAACGUCCCAAGCAUUAGGAGAGACAUAAGACUGUAGCCAGUGUGAGGGUGAAGAACUGGAAGCCAGUGUGGGCGGCCAUCCUUCAAGAUCACGGGAUGGAGGGAAACAGAGACUAUUGUUGGCUUGUAUGGGUUUUGGUUUAUGUUUACAUCCAUUUAUUUUGUGUAUAGCGUUGUCCCUUGGUUUCAUAGCCAAGAUCCACUGUUUUUCUGUGCCAGUUUGCUGGAUUGUUUCUCUUUCUAUCUUUAUAAAGUUAUCCUCGCUUGCAAUUUUUUUUUUUUAAAAAAAAGAAGCAUGACAUUACUUGACAGGAAAACAGUGUAAACAGGAGACUGACGUAUUUAAUAUAAAGGAUAGAAGAUAAAGUACUAUUGGCAAUGGACCCUUGGA